AAAAUCCGUCAGGACCCUAAGGGUGCUCUCACACCUGAGCUGUUUGGUCCGUUUUAACUGAACCCUGGAGCGUUUCGUUGGAUAGUCAGGUUUGCUUGGGUUGGUUUAAAGGAUCAUUCCAACUCUGGUGCGGAA
This is a long non-coding RNA of Etheostoma cragini (Arkansas darter), 135 nucleotides long. RefSeq lists it as uncharacterized. The transcript is spliced from 3 exons. Lineage: Eukaryota; Metazoa; Chordata; Actinopteri; Perciformes; Percidae. The record is from RefSeq and is a predicted model, not a curated record.